CAGUAGCCGCGGGAACACGAAGGGUGCAAGCGUUACUCGGAAUUACUGGGCGUAAAGCGUGCGUAGGUGGUGGUUUAAGUCCGUUGUGAAAGCCCUGGGCUCAACCUGGGAAUUGCAGUGGAUACUGGGUCACUAGAGUGUGGUAGAGGAUAGUGGAAUUUCCGGUGUAGCAGUGAAAUGCGUAGAGAUCGGAAGGAACAUCUGUGGCGAAGGCGACUAUCUGGGCCAACACUGACACUGAGGCACGAAAGCGUGGGGAGCAAACAGGAUUAGAUACCCCCGUAGUCCCUGUCUCUUAUAA
This 301-nucleotide ribosomal RNA is filed under the name uncultured bacterium. RNAcentral's name for it is "partial 16S ribosomal RNA". It matches the Rfam family "Bacterial small subunit ribosomal RNA", at positions 509 to 809 of the family's 1533-position model. The record is from RNAcentral.